RNAcentral lists this ribosomal RNA (253 nucleotides) under uncultured bacterium. RNAcentral describes it as "partial 16S ribosomal RNA". It matches the Rfam family "Bacterial small subunit ribosomal RNA", at positions 524 to 776 of the family's 1533-position model. The record is from RNAcentral.
UACGUAGGUGGCAAGCGUUGUCCGGAAUUAUUGGGCGUAAAGCGCGCGUAGGCGGUCCUUUAAGUCUGAUGUGAAAGCCCACGGCUCAACCGUGGAGGGUCAUUGGAAACUGGGGGACUUGAGUACAGAAGAGAAGGGUGGAAUUCCACGUGUAGCGGUGAAAUGCGUAGAGAUGUGGAGGAACACCAGUGGCGAAGGCGACUCUUUGGUCUGUAACUGACGCUGAGGCGCGAAAGCGUGGGGAGCAAACAGG